Silurus meridionalis is the source of this 2225-nucleotide long non-coding RNA. RefSeq lists it as uncharacterized. The record is from RefSeq and is a predicted model, not a curated record. NCBI's taxonomy places the organism in Eukaryota, Metazoa, Chordata, Actinopteri, Siluriformes, Siluridae. The transcript has 3 exons.
GUGUGGUUUUGCCCUUUUUUGGCUGUGUGUAGGUGAGAUUCUAGAUCCACCUGUUAAUCGAUGAUUGGCUGACAGAUGAUAUAAAAUGAAUCGGGAUUUAAGUUUCUUCCCAGUUGCUGCAAGUGAUGACAGAAGUGGAAGUGGUUUCCAGGAGGAACUUAUUCACUAUGUUUAAUUCAGAAAAUGACCACGAUAAAGAAGUUUCUCAUUUAUCGUCUUUUCAUAAGUCAGAUUCCCCUCGGGGUGGGGAAGAUUUUUUAGACAAAUGUUUCAAUAAAUUUGAGUCUACGAACGGCCCAUUAAUUUACGAAAGUGGAGAAUUAAAAAAUUAUGAUGCGAGUAAAAAGCUGGUGAUUCCAAAGGAAACACAGUGUACACUAUUAAUAAGAAAUUAUAAACAAAAUUAUAUCAAAAUUGGACGUGGUUGUUAUUAUGUAUAUAGCCACGUCUUGACCGCUUUACACGUCGUCGAGGACGCAAAUCCUUACCAUUCUAACAUGCUCGCCGUUUUCAAGACGGAAGAAAUUGUACUGGUUUAUAAAGCUGGAUUUGAAGAUUUGUGUAACCGCGACAAAGCUAAAGAUCAGGCGUUUAUCAAAUUAUAUGGCGAUACUACGCCUCUUGGUGAGGGCUUACACAAUCAGGUCGGUAAAACCAAUAAAAACGGCGUAUUCUUUCGAACCGUAGACGCCAACGGGAAUUUUCGAAAGCGCGAAGGUCAAAUCUGUAGUCCAAAUUCAAACAUUAGAAAACAAAUGAGUCCUGGUGAGUUUAUAAUGAAUGUAACUGGUGAAGCUGGAGACAGUGGUUCACCUGUAUUCAAUACCACCACCGGUGAACUGAUCGGAGUUUAUAGAGGCGUCUUUACACCCGAUGAAACACAAACAAAUAUAUCGCCUAUAUAUGGCCGCUAUACUGAAAUUUCUCCAAACUUUUUACCCUGGCGCCAAACGACGCCUUUUGAUUUUGCAGAUUUGAUUUAAAAAAUCUUUCACUAUUGUAAUAUAUGUACUAUUGGUAUCAGCAUUCUGUGAUAAGCCUGCCCUCUAGUGGUGUAUGUAGUGCUGUAUUAGUAAUGGCAGUUCUGAGUAAAGACCAUGUGAGUUAACACAACUCAACCGUUCUGCUGCGUAUUAUUUCUCUGUCAGCAUACACAACAACUAUAUUGUCUGAUUUCUAGUCAAGUCCAAUCCAAACACUCCUGUGGUGUCUGAUUGACAUGAACUGAUUGAAUUCGUCAUUUUAACCAAAUUAUAACAGUUUCCCUUUUAUAGACCCUGUGUUGUACAUCUCGUUUACCAAAAAAAAAGUAUACCUAUCUAUCUCUCUUUAAAUCUAUCUUGGGUAAGCUUGAGUAUUGUGAUUGUGUGUGUGUGAUUGUGUGUGUGAUUGUGUGUGUCUGUGAUUGUGUGCGUGUGUGUUUGCAACGCAUGAGCCAAAGUGAGUCACUGGAGCCACACCUUGGAUUUUUUUCGGCUACAUUUCUGUCUCCUGCCACAGUGAGAAACCGAAAGCUUAUGUAAAAAGAGUAUACAUUUCCAACUGUGGAGAAAAUCAGAGCUACAACUUCAUCAAGCUCGAUGGGAUCUGCAGCAACAAGAACCAUAACAACAAGAGCACACCAAGAACGUGAUGGAAGGUAAAGCUGUGGGCUGAGCCCCCAUCCAGAACCUGCUGGAUCAGAACUGAGCUGAGCUCUUUCUCACCGCUCUCAAUCCCACCCUGGGGCGAUGCGGAGAAACGGAAGACCCUGGAGAUCCUGGAGAUUUUCAAGACGUGGCUGCGCAUUCAUGUCCCCAAAAGACUUAACAAUGUCUGUCUCACAAUGGCUCGUGUGUCAACCAUACACACACACAUGCACACACAGACACACAUACAAACACACAUGCAAAACCACCAAAAAAACAUGAAAAACAAAAAAACCCUGAAAAAAAAACAGAAAAACGAAGAAAAAAUAAGAAAAAUAAAAAGAAAAGAAAAUGCAAACAAACAAAUAAAAAACCACACAAAAGAAAAACACCUCCAACAAAAACACAAAAAGCAAACAAAAAGCACCCACACACACACACAUGCUUGGCUCACUUAGAGAUAGAUUUUCUGAAACCUUGAACAUGUGAAUGAUCCUCCUGGACCCACUUCCUCCUCCACGGUGCCUGGCAGCUGCUCAGUGUGAGGAGCGUGACACAAGACCCACAGAGGAUUGUUCACGUUACACAAAAAAAAGU